UGUGUGUGUGAGAGGGAGAGAGGAAGGCUAACAGAGUUGUAUAUUUGAAAUGCUUCCAAGUAAUAUCAUAGUAUACACUGAUAUAAUAUUUAAAUGCUUAUAUCUGAAUUGUAUUUAUUUAGAUUUGCAUCCUAUGACCUGCUGAUGAGAUUCUGGGCCUUAAUAGAGCCAUCACUGCCAAAUAUGGUCAGUGUGACACAAGCACAGAGAGGCACCUUUACAGAGCCAAGUUCCACUGUAACUCGUUUCCUGCAGCCCAUUGAUGAGAUGUUCAUGUUUCUCAAUUACCUGGCACUGGGUUCAAAACAGCGUGAUCUUGCUGACCGGUAUGGAGUCCACCAGUCCACAGUCAGUCGGAUCAUUACAACAUAGAGCAACUUUCUGUACACUGUGCUAGGGUCUGUGAGGAUCUGGAUACCAGAGGAGAAAAUAAGGGCACAUCUGCCAGCUGAGUUUAAGGACUAUGCAGACACUACAGUCAUCCUGGACUGCACAGAGCUAAGGUGCCAGUGCCCUUCAUCACCUCUUCUCCAAAGUGAAAUGUUCUCAGCAUACAAGUCCCACUGUACUCUCAAAGGGCUGCUUGGAGUGGCUCCUCAUGGGGCGGUCACAUUUAUUUCUCAACUGUACGCUGGUUCCAUCAGUGACAAACAGAUCACGCGUGAGUCUGGAAUUCUCUCCCUUUUGAGACCUGGAAUGGCCAUCAUGGUCGACCGAGGUUUUCUGGUUGAUGACCUUGUACCUUGCAAGAUUUAUAGGCCAGCAUUUCUCUCUGGAAGAUCCCAGAUGUCUGCCUGUGAGGUCAGGGAGACCCAAGCAAUUGCACGCCUCAGGGUGCAUGUUGAGCGCCUCAUACGGCGUGUUAAGGAACACAAGUUCUUUGACACAGAGAUUCCACUUCGGCUUUUUGGCAACAUUAAUCAGCUGUAUACUGUUGCAUGUCUUCUGACGAACUAUGAAAACGGGCCUCUUGUAAAGGCUUGGGCAAAGAAGCCAGAGUAGCAGCAGUAGAAAAAAAUAUAAAAAUUAAUAACCUAUGACCAUUUGUAUAACUACUUUCUUUAAAUGUACCUUUGUAAAUUACUUUGUAUAAAUUGAAUUUUAUAAUUAAUGUUAUGUAUGCACUGCUGUACAUUGCACAUACUCUUUGAAUAAAGAACUACUGAAUUA
This is a long non-coding RNA of Cyprinus carpio (common carp), 1170 nucleotides long. RefSeq lists it as uncharacterized. The record is from RefSeq and is a predicted model, not a curated record. The transcript is spliced from 2 exons. Lineage: Eukaryota; Metazoa; Chordata; Actinopteri; Cypriniformes; Cyprinidae.